Bombus pyrosoma is the source of this 480-nucleotide long non-coding RNA. RefSeq lists it as uncharacterized. The record is from RefSeq and is a predicted model, not a curated record. The transcript has 3 exons. Lineage: Eukaryota; Metazoa; Arthropoda; Insecta; Hymenoptera; Apidae.
UAGCGAUUCCCGGGCUUCGUGGAAUUAAACCCGCGAACGUGUCGAGUGUUGUAAGCUGGAAAUACCAGCACUCGAGAACCGUGGCCCUUUGUAACGUGUUUACCUUUAAUAAAUUGAACCAGCCACCGAAAAGCGGAACGAGAGAUCCACCGAGGUCCGUUAAGGAAAUGUUCAAAGCAAUUGUAUUGGCAACUUUUAUCUGCUUGCGAAGGAAGCCCUUGAUACCGCACGCGAUACGACGAUCACAUUGAGCUGGAAGCAAUCUCGAAGCAGGCAAACGACGCCCACAUGCAAUUUCUUUGGAAGAUUCUCACGUUAUCGACGUCGUCAAAGACAUUCAGAUGCAGAAAUCUGAGGCGAAUUACCUUCCUGGACUGGAGUUUUCGAUGGAAGCUGGCCUCCAAGGUGGGUCUAGACAGCUGCUGUUGGAGAACCGCGGCCAGAUCUAAGUGAGCUUCUGCAUCUGAUUGCACCUGGCGC